RNAcentral lists this ribosomal RNA (663 nucleotides) under uncultured fungus. RNAcentral's name for it is "eukaryotic LSU rRNA". It matches the Rfam family "Eukaryotic large subunit ribosomal RNA", at positions 23 to 673 of the family's 3401-position model. The record is from RNAcentral. Lineage: Eukaryota; Fungi.
ACCCGCUGAACUUAAGCAUAUCAAUAAGCGGAGGAAAAGAAACUAACAAGGAUUCCCCUAGUAACGGCGAGCGAAGCGGGAAGAGCUCAAAUUUGAAAGCUGGCGUCUUCGGCGUCCGCGUUGUAAUCUCGAGACGUGUUUUCCGUGCGGCUCUAUGGACAAGUCCCUUGGAACAGGGCAUCGUAGAGGGUGAAAAUCCCGUACUUGCCAUGGAAGUACCGUGCUUUGUGAUACACGCUCCAAGAGUCGAGUAGUUUGGGAUUGCUGCUCAAAGUGGGUGGUAGACUCCAUCUAAAGCUAAAUAUCGGGGAGAGACCGAUAGCGAACAAGUACCGUGAGGGAAAGAUGAAAAGCACUUUGGAAAGAGAGUUAAAAGUACGUGAAAUUGUCGAAAGGGAAGCACUUGAAGUCAGCCAUGCUGCUUGAGACUCAGCCUGGCUUUUGCUUGGUGUAUUUCUCGGUAGCAAGCCAGCAUUGGUUUGUGUCGUCGGAGAAGCGUAUGGGGAAUGUGGCAUCCUCGGAUGUGUUAUAGCCCUGUGCAGGAUACGACGACGUAGACCAAGGAACGCAGUGUGCCCUCUGGGCGGGUCUUCGGACACCUUCACACUUAGGAUGCUGGCGUAAUGGCUUUAAGUGGCCCGUCUUGAAACACGGACCAAGGAG